AACGAACGCUGGCGGCAUGCCUAACACAUGCAAGUCGAACGAGACCUUCGGGUCUAGUGGCGCACGGGUGCGUAACGCGUGGGAACCUGCCCUUAGGUUCGGAAUAACUCCCCGAAAGGGGUGCUAAUACCGGAUAAUGUCUUCGGACCAAAGAUUUAUCGCCUUUGGAUGGGCCCGCGUUGGAUUAGCUAGUUGGUAGGGUAAAAGCCUACCAAGGCGACGAUCCAUAGCUGGUCUGAGAGGAUGAUCAGCCACACUGGGACUGAGACACGGCCCAGACUCCUACGGGAGGCAGCAGUAGGGAAUAUUGGUCAAUGGGCGAAAGCCUGAUCCAGCAAUGCCGCGUGAGUGAUGAAGGCCUUAGGGUUGUAAAGCUCUUUUACCCGGGAUGAUAAUGACAGUACCGGGAGAAUAAGCACCGGCUAACUCCGUG
RNAcentral lists this ribosomal RNA (433 nucleotides) under uncultured bacterium. RNAcentral's name for it is "partial 16S ribosomal RNA". It matches the Rfam family "Bacterial small subunit ribosomal RNA", at positions 29 to 507 of the family's 1533-position model. The record is from RNAcentral.